RNAcentral lists this long non-coding RNA (1114 nucleotides) under Calidris pugnax (ruff). Its description in RNAcentral is "lncRNA (ENSCPUG00000000004.1)". The record is from RNAcentral. Lineage: Eukaryota; Metazoa; Chordata; Aves; Charadriiformes; Scolopacidae.
ACAGAAAUGCCAUUUGAAAACAUUCUUACUACUUCAGAGCUUUCUUCACCGGGAAGCAUCGGGGUGCUCGGGAUGAUUUAAGCUUUCUGAAUGUUUCCAUUUCUUGUCAUCAUCUGCAGGACACAGCGAUCCCCGUCUCGUUUGUACGAAGGACACGAGGCAAAACAUGAUGGAAAGGAAAUCAUCUAAGGGCAAGGAUUUCUCCACCUACUUCCACCUUAUUCUUGCUUUCUCUGAAGCAGAUAACUCAACUCAGCUGCCGUUCCAGCCUUCAGCUCUUACAAAGAACAGACUCAAAUGAAUUUCCACUUCACUGUCAACUUUGCCUGUGUCUAGAGAAAAACUUUCAGUCUCUGGUCCUGGAUGCAGGGACCUGCAAAGACAGAUGAGCAAAUUCAUUUUAAGGAGGUGUAAAUGCCCAAGAAGACAGGUUGGCACUUCAAUAGAAAAAUUUUGAAAGUGAAGAAGAAUUUGAAACCCCCUGAUUGAGAAGAUACACUCUGAUAUGCUGUGCUAAAAAUUUUCUGUCAAGCUGCCUCAACCUAGGAAUAGGACCAACUGGGUUGCAAUUGGCAUCACUUCAGACAAAUACGUCAUCAGUAAUGGCUUUUGAAGCUUCUGCCUCUCUUGGAAGGAAAACUCUAUCGUGUGUAGACUUGAAAGCAUGGAUUUUCACGAGCUGUGCCAAGUUCCUGCAGGAGGUUUCCCAUCAGAGGGAACGUUGGGAGACUUGGCCAACAAAUCCCAUCUCCCAGCCCCGCUGCCGUGUCGGAUGGUACCUGUGUCGCUGCUGGAGCCUCCUCAGUCUGUGAGUACCAGCAGCACAACCUCAUCCAGGGUACUUCAGGUACCGCGACAGGACGUUGCUGAAACCCUUCACAGCUGUGGGUGCCCCAGCUCUUGCAUCCUGUGUUGCAGCAGAGCCUCUGUGCAGAUGGGACACCCAGAGAGCAUGUCCCCAGCGUCCUCCCGGGCUCUGGCUCCCACCUCGUGCUCUGUCUCCUGGUGAGAAGGUCACCAUCCUGUGCCCUCUGAAUACAGAUAGGAGCGAAUCAUGGAAACGUACUCAAUUUGUUGUAUUUCAUUAUUGUACACAGAUAUUUUUUUGCCUGAC